CUGGAGUCAAAGAGGAAGCAUGAUGUUUAACUCCGAGAAUAUGGAGUUCUCUCGCUCUCUCUCUCUCUCUUAUUGAACUACUACUUUUAUCUACUUUUCUACUGAUGAACUUGACAGGAAUGUUAGGUGGAACUUACUGUAUGGAUUUAUACCCUCCAAGGAACUGGAUGGAGGUCUUCCAUGGAAUUCUGUUUUGUUAAAAGCUUCUCUUAUCACUUCAGUUCCAUGAAGUACAACAAUAUUUUGCGAUCCUAAUUUCACACUUCAUAAAAAAAGUAGAAAAGUGAAAACACAAUGAAAUAAUAAAAAAAUGAAAUGAAAAAAUAAAUCAAAUAAAUAAAGGAAAUAUUUUAGAACAUAUUUUGUCCCACACUUGAAAUUUAAAAUUAAGAUAAACAAUACAACAAUCAAUUAUUUUAAAUUGUCUGCUGAUUCUCCAUCUGCAAAAAAAGGUAUUUUAAAAUUAACUAAUGUAAAAUUCAAAAAUUAUUAAUAAUG
Argiope bruennichi is the source of this 498-nucleotide long non-coding RNA. RefSeq lists it as uncharacterized. The record is from RefSeq and is a predicted model, not a curated record. NCBI's taxonomy places the organism in Eukaryota, Metazoa, Arthropoda, Arachnida, Araneae, Araneidae. The transcript is spliced from 3 exons.